GAUGAAGAACGUAGCGAAAUGUGAUAAGUAAUGUGAAUUGCAGAAUUCAGUGAAUCAUCGAGUUUUUGAACGCAUAUUGCGCCCUCUGGUAUUCCGGGGGGCAUGCCUGUUCGAGCGUCAUUAAAUAACCCUCAAGCAUAGCUUGGUGUUGGGCUUUUUUACGUCCUUGACUGGGAUGGGCCUAAAAAUUAGUGGCGAUGGCUUUUUUACUUUCAAGCGUAGUAAAUCUCGUCUUGCUAAAGAGGAAAAAGAUUUUUUUUCUGCCAAAAAUUUUAACAUUUAAAGUUGACCUCGGAUCAGGUAGGAUUACCCGCUGAACUUAAGCAUAUCAAUAAGCGGAGGA
This 343-nucleotide unclassified non-coding RNA is filed under the name soil metagenome. RNAcentral's name for it is "partial contains 5.8S ribosomal RNA, internal transcribed spacer 2, and large subunit ribosomal RNA". The stretch from base 1 to 120 matches the Rfam family "5.8S ribosomal RNA", at positions 35 to 154 of the family's 154-position model. The record is from RNAcentral.